Molecule: non-coding RNA, 25 nt
Filed under: Mus musculus (house mouse)
Lineage: Eukaryota; Metazoa; Chordata; Mammalia; Rodentia; Muridae
Source: RNAcentral
UACAGGUAGUAAGAAAACUGGAAGA